RNAcentral lists this ribosomal RNA (198 nucleotides) under Shigella flexneri. Its description in RNAcentral is "partial 16S ribosomal RNA". It matches the Rfam family "Bacterial small subunit ribosomal RNA", at positions 1 to 207 of the family's 1533-position model. Lineage: Bacteria; Pseudomonadati; Pseudomonadota; Gammaproteobacteria; Enterobacterales; Enterobacteriaceae. The record is from RNAcentral.
AAAUUGAAGAGUUUGAUCAUGGCUCAGAUUGAACGCUGGCGGCAGGCCUAACACAUGCAAGUCGAACGGUAACAGGAAGCGCUUGCUGCUUCGCUGACGAGUGGCGGACGGGUGAGUAAUGUCUGGGAAACUGCCUGAUGGAGGGGGAUAACUACUGGAAACGGUAGCUAAUACCGCAUAACGUCGCAAGACCAAAGA